GCCUUGGUGGCUCAGUGGUUGAGUGUCAACCUAUGAACUAGGAGGUCAUGGUUCAAUUCCCGGUCAGGGCA
Molecule: non-coding RNA, 71 nt
Organism: Myotis brandtii (Brandt's bat)
Lineage: Eukaryota; Metazoa; Chordata; Mammalia; Chiroptera; Vespertilionidae
Source: Rfam